ACAAAAGAUAUUAGCCAAAUCAAAUAAGAGAGUUUAUUAAAAUUCUAAUGAAAGGAUUAGUUAAUAUGUAUAAUGUAGAGAGAGAUUUUAUAAAUUGACAAGAAAAGGACAAAACUCCAGAAAAAAAAUGAGAAAAAGGAAUACAUAAGCAAAUAGAGGAAAAGUAAAUCUGAGUGACCAGUAAAUAGAUAAGAAUGUAUAAAAUCUCCCUAUUGUCAGAUUAAGCACAGUGGUAAUGGGGUAUCAUUUUACAUCCAUUAUACAGGCAAAACUUUACAGAAAAACAGUAUCUUUGGCUAUUGAAUAAGUGUGAGAAAAUGUCACUUUCACACAUUGCUGGCAGAUAUAGAUCAUUUUAAUAUAUUUCUCGAGACUUUUUUCCAAAACCAAAAAUACACAUACUUAUUGGUGCCGCAGUCACUUUUCUGAGACAUGCCUCAUAGAAAUAAAAACACAAUUAUGGGAAGAUGAAGGUAAAAGUAUUUGUUUUGGUGAAUUUAUAAUAGGUCCAAACUAGAAACAAAGUGACAAUGAUAAAAACAAUAAAAAUGUAUAAAUGCUUCUGCAUAUGAUUUUAUGAGUGUGGGAAAAGUGUGGAAGAAUACCAGGUGCUAAAAUGGAUUAUCUGGAAUUGAGGUUGUUGACUGAAAACAAGUGUACAAAAUGAGAGCUGUGAGUUUCAGGUUUAUCUGAGGACUCACUGAGAGCUCCGAGGAACUGCUCCAAAGAGGUGACAGGAGUGGUCAGUAUACAUGUGCUUUUGGCCAAGAGGCACAUGCGAUCAAGCACACAUUUGGCAGAAUGCUAGUGCUAGUCACAAGGAACAGACAUCUCUUUUAAUGAUUUUAAUCUUUUCUAAGCACAGGACGAGAUAUGCAAGAAUCCAGGUUUAUAAAAUUUUCCUGAAAAUAUCUAACUAUCUGAGGGCCUGUUCUGCCAGUUUUCCCAGAGCAGAGUGUCUCAUCCUGACCUUUGCCCCGAAUUCCUGUCAGGGUGUACUGUAAGUCAGCAAUUGCAGUGGCUAUUGACUCGAUUCUUGUAGAACCAGGUGGCUAUUAUUCCUUAGUUGGCAAGGUAGAUAUGGAGAGGUCAGAAGAGGUGGCAGAGGGUGUGUGGAAACAAGCCAACAAGGAAGAAGCA
Molecule: long non-coding RNA, 1140 nt
Organism: Bos taurus (domestic cattle)
Lineage: Eukaryota; Metazoa; Chordata; Mammalia; Artiodactyla; Bovidae
Source: Ensembl